RNAcentral lists this ribosomal RNA (615 nucleotides) under Delftia sp. LaBonte_alg3. Its description in RNAcentral is "bacterial SSU rRNA". It matches the Rfam family "Bacterial small subunit ribosomal RNA", at positions 817 to 1433 of the family's 1533-position model. The record is from RNAcentral. Lineage: Bacteria; Pseudomonadati; Pseudomonadota; Betaproteobacteria; Burkholderiales; Comamonadaceae.
CUGGUGUUGGGAAUUAGUUUUAUCAGUAACGAAGCUAACGCGGGAAGUUGACCGCCUGGGGAGUACGGCCGCAAGGAUGAAACUCAAAGGAAUUGUCGGGGACCCGCACAAGCGGUGGAUGAUGUGGUUUAAUUCGAUGCAACGCGAAAAACCUUACCCACCUUUGACAUGGCAGGAAGUUUCCAGAGAUGGAUUCGUGCUCGAAAGAGAACCUGCACACAGGUGCUGCAUGGCUGUCGUCAGCUCGUGUCGUGAGAUGUUGGGUUAAGUCCCGCAACGAGCGCAACCCUUGUCAUUAGUUGCUACAUUUAGUUGGGCACUCUAAUGAGACUGCCGGUGACAAACCGGAGGAAGGUGGGGAUGACGUCAAGUCCUCAUGGCCCUUAUAGGUGGGGCUACACACGUCAUACAAUGGCUGGUACAGAGGGUUGCCAACCCGCGAGGGGGAGCUAAUCCCAUAAAACCAGUCGUAGUCCGGAUCGCAGUCUGCAACUAGACUGCGAGAAGUCGGAAUCGUUAGUAAUCGGGGAUCAGCAUGCCGCGGAGAAUACGUUCCCGGGUCUUGUACACACCGCCCGUCACACCAUGGGAGCGGGUCUCGCCAGAAGUAGUAGC